CCCAGACUCCUACGGGAGGCAGCAGUGGGGAAUAUUGGGCAAUGGGCGCAAGCCUGACCCAGCAACGCCGCGUGAAGGAAGAAGGCUUUCGGGUUGUAAACUUCUUUUAUCAGGGACGAAGCAAGUGACGGUACCUGAUGAAUAAGCCACGGCUAACUACGUGCCAGCAGCCGCGGUAAUACGUAGGUGGCAAGCGUUAUCCGGAUUUACUGGGUGUAAAGGGCGUGUAGGCGGGAGUGCAAGUCAGAUGUGAAAACUAUGGGCUCAACCCAUAGCCUGCAUUUGAAACUGUACUUCUUGAGUGCUGGAGAGGCAAUCGGAAUUCCGUGUGUAGCGGUGAAAUGCGUAGAUAUACGGAGGAACACCAGUGGCGAAGGCAGCAUACCGGCUCCACACUGACGCUGAGGCACGAAAGCGUGGGGAUCGAACAGGAUUAGAUACCCCAGUA
This 448-nucleotide ribosomal RNA is filed under the name uncultured bacterium. Its description in RNAcentral is "bacterial SSU rRNA". It matches the Rfam family "Bacterial small subunit ribosomal RNA", at positions 330 to 792 of the family's 1533-position model. The record is from RNAcentral.